GUACUCUUUUUGGCAGCACAUACACUAAAAUUGGAACGAUGCAGAGAAGCUUGGCAUGGACCUUGUGCAGGGAUGACAUGUAAAUUCGUGACACAUUCCCUAUUUAA
Molecule: small nuclear RNA, 107 nt
Organism: Dipodomys ordii (Ord's kangaroo rat)
Lineage: Eukaryota; Metazoa; Chordata; Mammalia; Rodentia; Heteromyidae
Source: Ensembl